GAUCUCAUGUACUAAAAUUAAAAAUCAAAUAAGAAAAAACGUGGCUAUGAAGAUAGUUCCCAUGUAAUGUUUCUUUCAUUGUGUUCGAUUUCUUCUAGAAGAGUGUUGGAACAUGUCCCUAUUGCUAUUGGACUAACUAGUUGCUAUCCCUCUAGAAGACCAUGACAAAUUUGAGGCAAAUCCUUCUCCUUUAGUAAUGACUAUUGACUAGUUCCUUCCAUAUGGUAGAGGCCAGGUCUUAUAGAAAGAUUGCCCCGUCAGUGUCACAAAAAGUAUCAAACAAGACGCCCCCAAGUUUUUUCCUUUCGAUUUCACUAUUAUUUGAGUGGCUUGGAGAUGCCCUUGUAUUGUGUUGGGUUCAACAGUUUCAGAAUUUGAAGAUAUCAAACGCAAAACAUUCCCCUCUUGGUUGCUACAAGAUCGAUGGACAUGAUGAAGAAUAGCCCUUUUGAUGUCUCUUCUUCUUACUUGCUUAUUGAGGCCAGUGGUGACUCUGAAGCCGAUUGGAACCCCUACACUAAGGGUGAACAUGCAGAUGAUGAUGCUCAAUCUUGCAUCUAUGAUAGUUCUGAGAUUUGUAAUGCUUCUGAACUCAAUGGAUAUGAUGAGUCUUGGAAUAUUGAUGAUGAUGUUGAAGAUGAGAAGAAAGAUGAUGUUAUUCAUCAUGGAACUUCAUAUUGUGAUGAUGAUGAUAUGCAACACCAGAAGUCCUGUGUGUCUGAUGAUUCAGGCCAAGAAUUGGUGGAUGAGAUGGAAAAGAACAGGCUUUUCUGGGAAGCUUGUUUGGCAUCUUGAUUAUGUUUGUUGGAAGUUCUUUAUUUCUGAAUCACUGUUCUCUGGCUUCAUGAGUAUUCAUACUAUCAUAAAGAUAAAAGCUUUCAAGUUUGAUCACAUAUCACGGUUAAGGUCCUUAAGGAGAUUCGGGAAAAUUGAGUACUGUGAAAUACUCUGGAUUGUCUGUGACUUCUAUCUGGGGAAGCACGGCACAGGGGGGUGCAGCAGGCUUAAUGGGCAAGAAGGUUUUGGGUUUAGUUUAGGCCCACUACUGAAACUUCUCCUAUCUUGAUGAAUUUCUGAAGUUUUUAGUUAAUAAUAAUUGCAAGAUAUCAUGUGAUCUUUAGAAUAAUUGAAAAUCAAUUACGGUCCAACUUAAUUAACUAUUAUAUUAGUACCAGGUAAGAUGGAGCAUUCAAAUUUCACACGUUAUCAAAUAGUAUUAUUGUGUU
This is an RNA transcript of Glycine soja, 1226 nucleotides long. RefSeq lists it as uncharacterized. The transcript is spliced from 2 exons. Lineage: Eukaryota; Viridiplantae; Streptophyta; Magnoliopsida; Fabales; Fabaceae. The record is from RefSeq and is a predicted model, not a curated record.